This 279-nucleotide ribosomal RNA is filed under the name Clostridioides difficile. RNAcentral describes it as "partial 16S ribosomal RNA". It matches the Rfam family "Bacterial small subunit ribosomal RNA", at positions 1138 to 1416 of the family's 1533-position model. Lineage: Bacteria; Bacillati; Bacillota; Clostridia; Peptostreptococcales; Peptostreptococcaceae. The record is from RNAcentral.
CUCUAGAGAGACUGCCAGGGAUAACCUGGAGGAAGGUGGGGAUGACGUCAAAUCAUCAUGCCCCUUAUGCUUAGGGCUACACACGUGCUACAAUGGGUAGUACAGAGGGUUGCCAAGCCGUAAGGCGGAGCUAAUCCCUUAAAGCUACUCUCAGUUCGGAUUGUAGGCUGAAACUCGCCUACAUGAAGCUGGAGUUACUAGUAAUCGCAGAUCAGAAUGCUGCGGUGAAUGCGUUCCCGGGUCUUGUACACACCGCCCGUCACACCACGGGAGUUGGAG